GAUGAACGCUGGCGGCGUGCUCAACACAUGCAAGUCGAACGAUGAAGCCCAGCUUGCUGGGUGGAUUAGUGGCGAACGGGUGAGUAACACGUGAGUAACCUGCCCUUAACUCUGGGAUAAGCCUGGGAAACUAGGUCUAAUACCGGAUAGGAGCGCCUACCGCAUGGUGGGUGUUGGAAAGAUUUAUCGGUUUUGGAUGGACUCGCGGCCUAUCAGCUUGUUGGUGAGGUAAUGGCUCACCAAGGCGACGACGGGUAGCCGGCCUGAGAGGGUGACCGGCCACACUGGGACUGAGACACGGCCCAGACUCCUACGGGAGGCAGCAGUGGGGAAUAUUGCACAAUGGGCGCAAGCCUGAUGCAGCGACGCCGCGUGAGGGAUGACGGCCUUCGGGUUGUAAACCUCUUUCAGUAGGGAAGAAGCGAAAGUGACGGUACCUGCAGAAGAAGCACCGGCUAACUACGUGCCAGCAGCCGCGGUAAUACGUAGGGUGCGAGCGUUAUCCGGAAUUAUUGGGCGUAAAGAGCUCGUAGGCGGUUUGUCGCGUCUGUCGUGAAAGUCCGGGGCUUAACCCCGGAUCUGCGGUGGGUACGGGCAGACUAGAGUGCAGUAGGGGAGACUGGAAUUCCUGGUGUAGCGGUGGAAUGCGCAGAUAUCAGGAGGAACACCGAUGGCGAAGGCAGGUCUCUGGGCUGUAACUGACGCUGAGGAGCGAAAGCAUGGGGAGCGAACAGG
This 735-nucleotide ribosomal RNA is filed under the name Micrococcus luteus. RNAcentral's name for it is "bacterial SSU rRNA". It matches the Rfam family "Bacterial small subunit ribosomal RNA", at positions 28 to 776 of the family's 1533-position model. Lineage: Bacteria; Bacillati; Actinomycetota; Actinomycetes; Micrococcales; Micrococcaceae. The record is from RNAcentral.